This 44-nucleotide ribosomal RNA is filed under the name Ramaria cedretorum. RNAcentral's name for it is "partial 28S ribosomal RNA". The record is from RNAcentral. Lineage: Eukaryota; Fungi; Basidiomycota; Agaricomycetes; Gomphales; Gomphaceae.
UCAAAUCAGGCAGGACUACCCGCUGAACUUAAGCAUAUCAAUAA